This 433-nucleotide ribosomal RNA is filed under the name uncultured bacterium. RNAcentral describes it as "partial 16S ribosomal RNA". It matches the Rfam family "Bacterial small subunit ribosomal RNA", at positions 29 to 507 of the family's 1533-position model. The record is from RNAcentral.
AACGAACGCUGGUGGCAUGCCUAACACAUGCAAGUCGAACGAGACCUUCGGGUCUAGUGGCGCACGGGUGCGUAACGCGUGGGAACCUGCCCUUAGGUUCGGAAUAACUCCCCGAAAGGGGUGCUAAUACCGGAUAAUGUCUUCGGACCAAAGAUUUAUCGCCUUUGGAUGGGCCCGCGUUGGAUUAGCUAGUUGGUAGGGUAAAAGCCUACCAAGGCGACGAUCCAUAGCUGGUCUGAGAGGAUGAUCAGCCACACUGGGACUGAGACACGGCCCAGACUCCUCCGGGAGGCAGCAGUGGGGAAUAUUGGAAAAUGGGCGAAGGCCUUAUCCAGCAAUGCCGCGUGAGUGAUGAAGGAAUUAGGGUUGUAAAGCUCUUUUACCCGGGAUGAUAAUGACAGUACCGGGAGAAUAAGCUCCGGCUAAAUCCGUG